This 453-nucleotide ribosomal RNA is filed under the name uncultured bacterium. Its description in RNAcentral is "bacterial SSU rRNA". It matches the Rfam family "Bacterial small subunit ribosomal RNA", at positions 56 to 526 of the family's 1533-position model. The record is from RNAcentral.
UGCAAGUCGGACGGGAUUUGGGAGCUUGCUCCUAAUGAGAGUGGCGCACGGGUGCGUAACACGUAUGUAACCUACCUUCAUCAGGGGGAUAGCCUCUCGAAAGAGAGAUUAACACCGCAUAACAUCAUAGAGCAGCAUUGCUUAGUGAUCAAAUAUUUAUAGGAUGAAGAUGGGCAUGCGGGACAUUAGCUAGAUGGUGAGGUAACGGCUCACCAUGGCGACGAUGUCUAGGGGAUCUGAGAGGAUGAUCAGCCACGCUGGGACUGAGACACGGCCCAGACUCCUACGGGAGGCAGCAGUGGGGAAUAUUGGACAAUGGGCGAAAGCCUGAUCCAGCAAUGCCGCGUGAGUGAUGAAGGCCUUAGGGUUGUAAAGCUCUUUUACCAGGGAUGAUAAUGACAGUACCUGGAGAAUAAGCUCCGGCUAACUCYGUGCCAGCAGCCGCGGUAAUAC